This is a non-coding RNA of Phascolarctos cinereus (koala), 570 nucleotides long. Lineage: Eukaryota; Metazoa; Chordata; Mammalia; Diprotodontia; Phascolarctidae. The record is from RefSeq and is a predicted model, not a curated record.
UACCGAGGCAGCAGCCAGAGGAGGGGGAGGGAGGCGGUGGGGGGAGGAGGAGGAGAAGGAGAAGAAGAAGGGGAGGCAGGGACUGGAAGGUUUUCCCCCCGCAAGCAAGAAGGGUAGGAGCUGGAGGAAGAGGAGGAGGAGGAGGAGGAAGAGGAGGAGGAGGUGGACGAAGCCGGGAACUGGAGGACGACGAGAAGGUCCAGGAGGUCGGAGCCAAGCCGGACCCAGAGCGCUGCGGUCUUACCGGAUUCAGGUCCCCGGCUGAGCCCGAGCGCUCUGCGAGCGGAAGGCAGCAAGAGCCGGCGGCUCUCUCCCCAGUUCGGUUGGCAGCACUUUUCCUGGCUUGCUCUUCACUGGGAAGUCUUUGAUAACUCACGGUCUCCUCCAGGAAUUGAUGAGGCCUUGAUAGGAGUGAACAGCAGAAAACAGAGAGAGACAGGGCUGCUGACCCUCCAUUCAACACUCCCCGUGUUCCUAGCUCAGAGGAAAGGGAAGGGGAUUGUCUUGAUGGACGCUCAAUGGAGCCGGGCUCCUUCCAAAGGAUUCUUGGAGACUUUUUGGCCAACCUUU